UACGGGGGGGGCAAGCGUUGUUCGGAAUUACUGGGCGUAAAGGGCUCGUAGGCGGCCAACUAAGUCGGACGUGAAAUCCCUCGGCUUAACCGGGGAACUGCGUCUGAUACUGGAUGGCUUGAGUCCGGGAGAGGGAUGCGGAAUUCCAGGUGUAGCGGUGAAAUGCGUAGAGAUCGGGAGGAACACCGGUGGCGAAGGCGGCAUCCUGGACCGGAAUUGACGCUGAGGAGCGAAAGCCAGGGGAGCAAACGGG
This 253-nucleotide ribosomal RNA is filed under the name uncultured bacterium. Its description in RNAcentral is "partial 16S ribosomal RNA". It matches the Rfam family "Bacterial small subunit ribosomal RNA", at positions 524 to 776 of the family's 1533-position model. The record is from RNAcentral.